ACACUGCUGAGGAGUCCUACAAUUGGACGAAACGGUCGUCCAGUGC
This 46-nucleotide non-coding RNA is filed under the name Schistosoma mansoni. The record is from RNAcentral. Lineage: Eukaryota; Metazoa; Platyhelminthes; Trematoda; Strigeidida; Schistosomatidae.